Molecule: ribosomal RNA, 252 nt
Filed under: uncultured bacterium
Lineage: Bacteria
Description: partial 16S ribosomal RNA
Rfam family: Bacterial small subunit ribosomal RNA
Source: RNAcentral
GACGAACCGAGCGAACGUUGUUCGGAAUCACUGGGCUUAAAGGGCGCGUAGGCGGGCAUCAUAGUCUGUGGUGAAAUCCGGCAGCUUAACUGUCGUAUUGCCAUGGAUACUGGGUGUCUCGAGGGAGGCAGGGGUGCGCGGAACUAAUGGUGGAGCGGUGAAAUGCGUUGAUAUCAUUAGGAACUCCGGUGGCGAAGGCGGCGCACUGGUCCUUUUCUGACGCUGAGGCGCGAAAGCCAGGGGAGCAAACGG